AUUUACUGCAAGGCAUUGCUUAGUGUUCAUUUUGCAUGGCCUUGAACAGUUACAUAAAUAAAUGUACUUACUGGCGUGUUUUAAUAACCAUCAUAAUGGUGUAAAGACCACCAUUUCAACAUCUGCAGACAUAUAUUAAAAUUCAUUUACCUCAGGUACAAAUGCUUUUAUUUCCUGUUCUAUUUUAUGCCCCACAGCAUAACACUGUCACGGAACGAGACUGGAGGCGGAUGCAGGCAUGGCAGCAGGCGCCUCUCCCCCAGCCCUAGCAGCCUGAUCAGGGACCUGCAUCGCCACACCAACGUGCCUAUCUUUGAUUGUUUUAGUUGAUUAUGCACUCCUUUUUAAGGCCAGCUGUUUCUGCGCCGCUUGACAAUGCCCUCCAGCUUGGGGGAAGGAAUCCCAAAUUAUCCAGAGGGUUAGGGGGUGCAGUGCCCUGAAGCCCGGAGCCCCACAGCGGCGCUAACAUAUUCAAUGGCCUGAGGCGAGAGCCGGAGAAAGCGAGGCCGCCUGCAUACUGAUACCCAAACUGAACAGACAGUAAUUGGUGCAGUGCAGGAGAGGGGCGAGGAGGGCAUGCAUGGAAAGAUGAUGCCUUUGUUUCUCUGUGUGUCUGACACCCAGACUCCUCCUCCUCCUCCUCCUGCCAUCAUCAUCAGCCUACCCCCUCCUUCGCACACACACCUCUCCUUCACACUCAAAGUACUUGCUAAUUGGUCUCUUGCUGGCUGCCUAAAGACCCGUGGACAUUCCACUAUUCUUGCUUUGUGCAGGAAUAUGUGUUAUGUCUUAACUUGACAUGGUGGAGUUUUAAGACUAUUCGUAGUGUGUAGCCUGUGGUAACUGGAACUGUAUAAUUUUUGCCAAAAUGGUUAAUGUUUUAUUAUAUAUGUGCAUUUUACCAA
Molecule: long non-coding RNA, 905 nt
Organism: Ictalurus punctatus (channel catfish)
Lineage: Eukaryota; Metazoa; Chordata; Actinopteri; Siluriformes; Ictaluridae
Source: Ensembl